Molecule: long non-coding RNA, 501 nt
Organism: Anopheles stephensi (Asian malaria mosquito)
Lineage: Eukaryota; Metazoa; Arthropoda; Insecta; Diptera; Culicidae
Exons: 3
Source: RefSeq, a predicted model, not a curated record
CCUCACAUAAUUUCCACCCUGCUUGCUGGCUGGCCGGUCCUUGCUUUCCAAUUUUGCUUUCGUUUAUCGCGCGCCGUUUUUGUUACUCUCGCAUCUAAUGCGAAACGCUCUAUUUACGUUUUAAUGGGCCUCUAAACAAGUGCACUAGCAGUUGGAGCAGUUUGGUCGAGUGGUUAGUGUACUGGACAGAAGAGCCACGGAUAUAACCAAUUUCCCCUGCAGUAAAGAGAGUGCGAGAGCGCGCGUGGGAAAAUGCGGCGGGAGAAGAAUUGUUCCUCACGUGAGAGAGAAUGUAAUUUGAGUGAGGGGAAAAUUCAGAACUCUGCGCUCAUCACCACCUGCUAAAAUUCUCAUGUUUACCUCGGCAAAACAACGGACCAGAAUCAGAACCAAAAAUCGCGUACAGAGCAUCAAGAGCAUACAGGAGAACCGCCGAACAAAAAAAAUAUCCCAAACAUUGAUUUCCCGUCCCAUGGAUGGUUGGGUUCCGUUAGUUUUGUA